Molecule: ribosomal RNA, 245 nt
Filed under: uncultured Enterobacteriaceae bacterium
Lineage: Bacteria; Pseudomonadati; Pseudomonadota; Gammaproteobacteria; Enterobacterales; Enterobacteriaceae
Description: partial 16S ribosomal RNA
Rfam family: Bacterial small subunit ribosomal RNA
Source: RNAcentral
UACGGAGGGUGCAAGCGUUGUUCGGAAUUAUUGGGCGUAAAGCGCACGCAGGCGGUCUGUCAAGUCGGAUGUGAAAUCCCCGGGCUCAACCUGGGAACUGCAUCCGAAACUGGCAGGCUAGAGUCUUGUAGAGGGGGGUAGAAUUCCAGGUGUAGCGGUGAAAUGCGUAGAGAUCUGGAGGAAUACCGGUGGCGAAGGCGGCCCCCUGGACAAAGACUGACGCUCAGGUGCGAAAGCGGGGGGAG